AGUGAACGCUGGCGGUAGGCCUAACACAUGCAAGUCGAACGGCAGCACAGUAAGAGCUUGCUCUUACGGGUGGCGAGUGGCGGACGGGUGAGGAAUACAUCGGAAUCUACUUUUUCGUGGGGGAUAACGUAGGGAAACUUACGCUAAUACCGCAUACGACCUACGGGUGAAAGCAGGGGAUCUUCGGACCUUGCGCGAUUGAAUGAGCCGAUGUCAGAUUAGCUAGUUGGCGGGGUAAAGGCCCACCAAGGCGACGAUCCGUAGCUGGUCUGAGAGGAUGGUCAGCCACACUGGAACUGAGACACGGUCCAGACUCCUACGGGAGGCAGCAGUGGGGAAUAUUGGACAAUGGGCGCAAGCCUGAUCCAGCCAUACCGCGUGGGUGAAGAAGGCCUUCGGGUUGUAAAGCCCUUUUGUUGGGAAAGAAAAGCAGCAGGUUAAUACCCCGCUGUUCUGACGGUACCCAAAGAAUAAGCACCGGCUAACUUCGUG
Molecule: ribosomal RNA, 492 nt
Filed under: uncultured bacterium
Lineage: Bacteria
Description: partial 16S ribosomal RNA
Rfam family: Bacterial small subunit ribosomal RNA
Source: RNAcentral